This is a long non-coding RNA of Betta splendens (Siamese fighting fish), 824 nucleotides long. RefSeq lists it as uncharacterized. Lineage: Eukaryota; Metazoa; Chordata; Actinopteri; Anabantiformes; Osphronemidae. The transcript is spliced from 3 exons. The record is from RefSeq and is a predicted model, not a curated record.
GCAGGUGUGAGAGUGUGAACAGACUGCCCUGGAGGGGGAUAGACGGUGACCCCAAACCGUGAAUCUCUUGGCCUCUUCAGCCGGAUCCUGUUCCGAGUGCUCGCGCCCGCAGACAGCCCGGAGAGUGGCCCCACGUCAGCCCUCAUCAGCUUUAUUUGAAAAGCUUCCUCUCCUUAAUGAGAGGGAGGUUUGCCUAAACCUCAUAGCGAGCCGACGGGUCCAGGUGCAGCUGAGGUGCAGCUCCGGUGGCGCGUUCGGUGGCCGCCGCUCGCCGAGGUUCGCCAGGAUUCGAAAGGGAGCUCGCAGCGGCCGGCCAGAUGAGGACGGCGGAGGACGAGGACCAAAGAGCAUGCGUCAGCCCUGUCUCUCCAACCCCCCCAUGCAGUGGAGAUCAAAACUUUGUCCUGUGGCACAUUGUCUUGCUCAUCAUCGCGCUCCAGUACAACACCUGCAAAACUGCAGAUGCUUAUUACUCCACCUCGAGCUCCAAGGUACCGACUCUCGCCGCAGCUGUUUCACAGUGGGCUGCGAACUGCUCCAGUGCAUGCUGAAACUAAUGAAUGUUGAUGUAAUGAAGCCAACGGAACCAAGUCGUCUGCACAACUGCUCUUUUUUUUAAGAAUGCAGCAACAACGGCUUGCAACCAACCAACAACUGCAGAUUCCACCUCUCUUUUCUUACUCACGUGCAGUAACCAGUGCGUUUCCUUCGCUCUGGGGACUGAAGGGCUCAUUAACCCUUCCUGCACACAUUUCUGUUUCAUUUUCACCUGCUUGCCAGCACUAAGCCCUUUUCAUCCAUAAAACACAUACUCUCAUCCACAG